GGGGGCAUGGCGGAAUGGUAGACGCUACGGACUUAAAAUCCGUUGACUGCAAAGUCGUGAGGGUUCAAGUCCCUCUGCCCCCA
Molecule: transfer RNA, 83 nt
Filed under: Phormidesmis priestleyi ANT.L61.2
Lineage: Bacteria; Bacillati; Cyanobacteriota; Cyanophyceae; Leptolyngbyales; Leptolyngbyaceae
Also listed under: 1 other name
Description: tRNA-Leu
Rfam family: tRNA
About the family: Transfer RNA (tRNA) molecules are approximately 80 nucleotides in length.
Source: RNAcentral